RNAcentral lists this transfer RNA (92 nucleotides) under Thermotoga sp. Its description in RNAcentral is "tRNA-Ser". It matches the Rfam family "tRNA". From Rfam's summary of the family: Transfer RNA (tRNA) molecules are approximately 80 nucleotides in length. Their secondary structure includes four short double-helical elements and three loops (D, anti-codon, and T loops). Further hydrogen bonds mediate the characteristic L-shaped molecular structure. tRNAs have two regions of fundamental functional importance: the anti-codon, which is responsible for specific mRNA codon recognition, and the 3' end, to which the tRNAs corresponding amino acid is attached (by aminoacyl-tRNA synthetases). tRNAs cope with the degeneracy of the genetic code in two manners: having more than one tRNA (with a specific anti-codon) for a particular amino acid; and 'wobble' base-pairing, i.e. permitting non-standard base-pairing at the 3rd anti-codon position. Lineage: Bacteria; Thermotogati; Thermotogota; Thermotogae; Thermotogales; Thermotogaceae. RNAcentral also lists the same sequence under 2 other names. The record is from RNAcentral.
GGAGAGGUGGCCGAGUGGUCGAAGGCGCUUGCCUGCUAAGCAAGUGUGGAGGGUUACCUCCACCGAGGGUUCGAAUCCCUCCCUCUCCGCCA